GGCAGUGGGGGAGCUGGGCGCCAGCAGUGUCGAACUCGAACCCUACCAAAUCACAGAUAUUAAUUUUGAGAGCUGUGAAGUAGAAAACUCUAAUCUUUGGAGGAGACUUUCUGAAUCUGCAUCAAAAGUUGAGUGUGCUAUGUUACUUGCAGAAAGUUAAAUGGAAACAACACAGGAAGCUGACGUUGAGAAGAAAAAUGAAAUGACAGUCCACAUGAAACUUGUGAAAAGGAGUUCAACUCAUAUAUUUUUUUCUAGUGGCAAAGUUUUUAAUGAAGAGACUUGAACUCUGUUUUUAUGUUAUAUUGUUCAUUUGUACGUGUGAAUUGAGAUGAUCUUAUGUGGUGUGAUGAUAGAUAGAUUAACUUUGUUGGAUAUUAGAUAUUUAAGUUAAACUUUGGUGGAUUAAUUUUGUUGGAUGUUAGAUGAUCAUUUCUG
Long non-coding RNA from Zea mays, 438 nucleotides. RefSeq lists it as uncharacterized. The record is from RefSeq and is a predicted model, not a curated record. NCBI's taxonomy places the organism in Eukaryota, Viridiplantae, Streptophyta, Magnoliopsida, Poales, Poaceae. The transcript has 3 exons.